Molecule: ribosomal RNA, 253 nt
Filed under: uncultured bacterium
Lineage: Bacteria
Description: partial 16S ribosomal RNA
Rfam family: Bacterial small subunit ribosomal RNA
Source: RNAcentral
CGUAGGGUGCAAGCGUUAAUCGGAAUUACUGGGCGUAAAGCGUGCGCAGGCGGUUUUGUAAGUCUGAUGUGAAAUCCCCGGGCUCAACCUGGGAAUUGCAUUGGAGACUGCAAGGCUAGAAUCUGGCAGAGGGGGGUAGAAUUCCACGUGUAGCAGUGAAAUGCGUAGAUAUGUGGAGGAACACCGAUGGCGAAGGCAGCCCCCUGGGUCAAGAUUGACGCUCAUGCACGAAAGCGUGGGAGCAAACAGGAUU